Long non-coding RNA from Colletes gigas, 3136 nucleotides. RefSeq lists it as uncharacterized. The record is from RefSeq and is a predicted model, not a curated record. Lineage: Eukaryota; Metazoa; Arthropoda; Insecta; Hymenoptera; Colletidae. The transcript has 5 exons.
GAUGUAUCGACUAACUGCAAGUGGAAUCUUCCGUGCAACGGUCGUUCUGUAUUCAUUUGAAUAGUUUAUAUGGUAACUCGUAUACCGCGAUCGACCGUUGACAGAUCAAUUCGCACGUUGAAAAAGUACGUAGUGAAAAUGGUGUCCUUUGUGGUUCAGUCGUGUAAGAAAUUGAUGCAAAGAUCGUUCGAGCAGUUUUAACGACGCGCGUGGUGCUUCGAGAGAGAGUGGGAGAACCGAGUUCAAGCAACAGUCAGGGAACGUUCUCCCAUCGCGAUAACGUGUACCAGUCCGUGGUGUGAUCGAGUGGUUCUCGUAGUCGCGGGCGAUUCGUCAAGUACGCGGGCAGACACCCGGUAGACGAACACCUACCCACUUCCGGCGAAAAGGGUGAAAUGCGGAGAAAAAGUGGCGCAGCAUUGGGACUGAAAAAUAUGAGUUCAGCGGUGAAACAUGGAGAUGGAUCGGUGACGGUUUGAUGAUCAAUGGCAGCAGCCGAGAAUGGACACCUCUUCAAGAACAUUCCUAAAACUGUGGGAAGAUGUGCUGUUCAACUAAACUGGAAAACAUUUGGAACGUUCAAACAUCUGCAGAAACGAGAUGUAAUCGUGGGACGUCCAGCCGAGCACCGGUCUAUCCUCCACAAAAAUUUACGAAUAAAAGAAAUCCCUACACCCACUUAAAUCGCACGUACGUUCGCUCAUUUCUUUAAAAAGAAUUGUCGCAAAUUUGCCGCGAGGUCGAAAGCAUCUCCAACGCGAAGACUCCUGAAAGCAUAUCAAUCCGUUUCAAUUGAAACACUUGAAAUACGACUAACGUUUUAAAUCCAGCAAUCAGCAUACAUAAUUAAUAUUUGAGCGCGCGUUCGUACUCACCGUUUGAUGGAUAACUUUAGAAUUCCCUUUACAAAUUUAAUCGGUGCUUUAUUUUAACAUUUAUCGCCCGGACGAGAACAAAUUGGAUAAAUUCUUUAACAGGACACGAAAACGGUGAUUCGAAACUUGUCUCGUUACGUUAAUCUCAGUUUUAUCAACGAUGUCGUGUCCGUUUAAUAUCGAAGAUUCGCGUUACAUUCUGUGCAACAAGCUUUAAAUUUACGCGAGUAAAUCUAAGAAACACUUCGAUACGACAGAAAAUUGAAAUCUUCCAGCAGACUCAGGCUACAUGAUGGUGGAAGUUGAGGGUUAAGGGUGGCAAACGAAGGAAAUUGAGCGUCGAAAUUAGGCGCCCUUAGCGCCGUGUCGUCCUGAAUCGGAAUAGUUUCGCGGAUAAGUCCCCCGGAUUGCGUCCCGUAUUAGCACCAACGGCGGUGCUUGGAAGUUGAUCCGCAACUCGGUCGAAACAGGGCCGUGGCUGGCGAUUUAAAGUACCAAGGCGAUCUUUAUUACGCGUGAACGACGAAAGUACACGAUGACGAUGCGGACCACGGCUGGCUCGGUGCCAGCGAGAGAUCUCGCAGGGCUCAGCCUCUUCAUCCUCUUCCUCAUCGUCGGUAUUCAUCGCCCCCGUACUCCCCUCCCAGCCCCGAUUUCUCCAUUCUUUCGUCGCCCAUUCUUCCGCGAGUCGAUAUCGAGAUGUCGCGCGACUACACGCCGACCCACCGUCUUCUUUCGACAGAAUUUUGGCAAUUUUUAUCAACGUCCAACAUCCCUUUUUAAAAUGGCGAUCCGGGCAAACGUCGACGGUGAAUUCGAUUCGUGAAUUCACUGCUAAUACCUCGCGAAUUUGUGUUGAUUUUAAUAUAGGAGACUCUAUGAUGAGUGAUGAUCAGUAUAGUGUGGUACAAACGAUAAAAUAAUUCCCAGUGAGUAGUACGUCUAAGUAUUAAACGUCACGAUUCGUAAAAAGUCGACCGAAUCGCAUAAUUUUGGUACUCGACUCGGACAUUAGAGCUCGUGUUUACAUAUUGUGCGUGGGUGGAGCAAUUUCAUUAGACUUAUUUGAGUUAUGACUGAUUGGGUGACCUUUUGGUUCGCCUUUUCUGGGGGCGUUUACCGGGACGCUGUACGGAAAUGGCGGAAGGGUUAUUAAACUUUCAAAGCCUGCGCCUUCUUGAGUCUCCGGGUUCAGAAACCACAGUCAGUCGAUUCGAUUUAUAAAGUUUCGACCUCACAUUUGAUCCUCUUCGGAGUAUAAAACUAAACAAACGUGGUCAUUGUAGCCUUUUCUAACAUUGACGUUUGACUUAUUUCUAUUCAUCAUAAUUUUUAGAUAUCCCUGAUCAUUUGUGCAGAGUUUCGUUGAGAUCAAUGUUCUACAGUCGGUACUGUUUCUUUGUUAGUAGAUGUAAAGACGUUACUCGAGAAUGAACGAAGUUUAAGAAACAUUCCGACGUAGGAACGGUUAAAACGGAAGAGGCACGAACCAUCAAGGAUUCAAAGCGUACCCCGGAUCGAAUCGGGCUACAUGGAAUUGGCGGUGAUUUAAAUUGGCUGCCCUCUCGACCCGCUGUUUAACCUAUUUACCACCGCGCCUCUGAAUACGCUCUCUUCCUCCUUUUUUCCUCUCCUCUUUGCUCCGUUCGUCAGCCGUUCCCCGAACUUCGUUGCCUGUCAGUCGCAUUUAUCCUCUUUGUGGAGCGAUCCCAGCUUUUUAAGCUCCGGGACACGGGAAACGAUCGGUAGCCUCUGCCAUUUUCCUCCGAAAAGCGUUCGAACAGACUUUUACGCGAUGACGAACGAACUUCCUGGCUUUUCUUGCUCGCAAAUACUCGAAACUAGUAUAUCUUCCUGUCGACCACGUAUUCCUAAAGUUUUGAAAACGAUUUCUGCGCUUCAAAUUGUAAUAAAAUUUCUGAUUAUUGAAUUUUCUUUCGAACUGCUUUCUGAGCAAAAAUUACGAAAGAUAUACUAAACGUUACGUGGUUUCGGUUUGUUAAUUGCGAAUAAAAAUGGGUCGACUCGCGUCGAAUUAUUACAAAUGGGCGUGACGAAUAAAAGCUUUCAGGUAUCGUCGCUUUAAGUAGAAAAUGAAAUUUCGGUUCGCCGAAAAACGAGACGCGGGGAACGAAAAAUGGCCGCAUGCGAUAGUCGGCGCGCCGGGAAUUGUUAAUUAUAGUGAUCCGUGUAGUUGCGAUUAUUUAUUAUGCGUCGGUAAUCUCUGUAAUUACUGUCGUUAAAACUGUCAUUAAAGCCGA